AUAUUAAAACUCAUCUCCUGUUCAAAAACUUCCACGAUUUGAAAACUUCUCCCUCAAUCACGUUUGCAUCUCCUCUCUUCAACAAAUGGCCGAUUUUCUUUUUUCCAUGUUUUCCACGUUAUGCAUAAUUCGUGAUUUUGUCGACGUCGGAUGAUCGACUUGAAGUGGAAAGAAAUCUGGGGAGUUGAAGGCGUGUACAAGGUCGCUUUUCCUCUGCUCUUCAAGUUUAAUUCAAUGCGCUUAAUUUUAUUUUCCUCUGCUCUUCAAGUCUUUGGAAUUUCUUAUCACAUUAUAUUUUAGUUUUGCUUCGAUUCUAUUUGUCGUUUUCUUGCCAUAAUUUUUUGCCACGGGUUCACAAAGUUCUCUAAGCGUUUAUUUCUCUAACAUCUUCUCAACUAAUUUAGCAUGGUUAUUUUCAGGCUGUGAAUGGAUAGCGUGGUAUUGUAACUAAUUAUGUAGUCUAAAAAUUGCCUGUUUUUUUUCUUUUCUGUAAGGAUUCUGUCAAUUAUUGGUAUUCAAUUUGAAUGUUUUUCAUUUUUCGUAAUCAAGUCCUUUGUUAUGGAUGAGUCGGUACAAGUUAAAUAGCAACGAGGGGAAAGUU
RNAcentral lists this long non-coding RNA (601 nucleotides) under Erythranthe guttata (spotted monkey flower). RNAcentral describes it as "long non-coding RNA (EGUT_LNC003655)". Lineage: Eukaryota; Viridiplantae; Streptophyta; Magnoliopsida; Lamiales; Phrymaceae. The record is from RNAcentral.